Molecule: ribosomal RNA, 669 nt
Filed under: uncultured bacterium
Lineage: Bacteria
Description: bacterial SSU rRNA
Rfam family: Bacterial small subunit ribosomal RNA
Source: RNAcentral
UUGCUCUCGCCUGACGAGUGGCGCACGGGUGCGUAACGCGGUAUGCAACUUGCCCUUAACUGAGGGAUAGCCCAGAGAAAUUUGGAUUAAUACCUCAUAAUAUAUUUGAGACACAUGUUUUAGAUAUUAAAGCUAUUGCGGUUAAGGAUGGGCAUGCGUCCUAUUAGUUAGUUGGUGAGGUAACGGCUCACCAAGACAGCGAUAGGUAGGGGGCCUGAGAGGGUGAUCCCCCACACUGGUACUGAGACACGGACCAGACUCCUACGGGAGGCAGCAGUAAGGAAUAUUGGGCAAUGGACGCAAGUCUGACCCAGCCAUGCCGCGUGCAGGAUGACUGCCCUAUGGGUUGUAAACUGCUUUUAUAUAGGAAUAAACCUUCUUACGUGUAGGGAGCUGAAUGUACUAUAUGAAUAAGCACCGGCUAACUCCGUGCCAGCAGCCGCGGGUAAUACNGGAGGGUGCAAGCGUUAUCCGGAUUUAUUGGGUUUAAAGGGUGCCCAGGCGGAAGAUUAAGUCAGUGGUGAAAGCCCGCAGCUCAACUGCGGAACUGCCAUUGAUACUGGUUUUCUUGAGUAUGUUCGAAGUAAGCGGAAUANGGCAUGUAGCGGUGAAAUGCAUANAUAUNCNUAAAACCCCGAUAGCGAGGCCGCUUACUAGGUCAUAACUGAC